RNAcentral lists this unclassified non-coding RNA (328 nucleotides) under soil metagenome. RNAcentral's name for it is "partial contains 5.8S ribosomal RNA, internal transcribed spacer 2, and large subunit ribosomal RNA". The stretch from base 1 to 120 matches the Rfam family "5.8S ribosomal RNA", at positions 35 to 154 of the family's 154-position model. The record is from RNAcentral.
GAUGAAGAACGUAGCGAAAUGCGAUAAGUAAUGUGAAUUGCAGAAUUCAGUGAAUCAUCGAAUCUUUGAACGCACAUUGUGCCCCUUGGUAUUCCGAGGGGCAUGCCUGUUCGAGCGUCAUUAUAACCCUCAAGCUCAGCUUGGUGUUGGGGCCUGCUGCACUGGCAGCCCUUAAAAUCAGUGGCGGCGCCAUCUGGCUCUAAGCGUAGUAAUUCUUCUCGCUAUGGAGUCCUGGUGGAUGCUUGCCAUCAACCCCCAAUUUUUCUAUGGUUGACCUCGGAUCAGGUAGGGAUACCCGCUGAACUUAAGCAUAUCAAUAAGCGGAGGA